CUGAUCCUCUCCAUAAUGGUCUGUGGCUCCAGGCCCUGUCACAACUCUAACAUCAAGAAAAUGCUGUGUACCUAGCAGGAGCACCACGUCAACUUCCUGCUCUCCAAGUACCUGAGAGGAAUGUGCAAGGACCUCAUCUACCACAGACAGCUGUGAUAGCAACUGAAAGAUGCACAUCUACAAGAUCCCCAGCCAAUGCCAGACACAGCCCAAGGCACAGUGCUGCAUCUCCUCUGUAGUCAUCGACCAGGAGGUUUUGUAAAAAGGAGCUGCAUUCCAGACAGCUGCAUUCUCAUUUCAAAGAUCAGAAAAGAAACUGAAUUCUAGACAUCUUCCCUUUAAUUCUUCAAGAAAGUUGUAAGGAAAAUAUACAAGCAGAAAUAAAUCUUAACAGCAACCUGAUACUCAGUGUCUGAGGUAAACAUCCUUAAUCUGACUUGUGAUUCAGAUCUUGAUUCAUUUUUAUCAUGGUUUCUGACAGAUUGCAGGUUAAUUUCUUUGGUCACAACAGGAAAAGCAUUUUUGCGCUAGAUAACUGCAGCUCAUAAAUCUCUGCACGAGCACCCCAC
RNAcentral lists this long non-coding RNA (569 nucleotides) under Fukomys damarensis (Damara mole-rat). RNAcentral describes it as "lncRNA (ENSFDAG00000029777.1)". Lineage: Eukaryota; Metazoa; Chordata; Mammalia; Rodentia; Bathyergidae. The record is from RNAcentral.